Molecule: ribosomal RNA, 479 nt
Filed under: uncultured bacterium
Lineage: Bacteria
Description: partial 16S ribosomal RNA
Rfam family: Bacterial small subunit ribosomal RNA
Source: RNAcentral
GAUGAACGCUAGCGGGAGGCCUAACACAUGCAAGCCGAGCGGUAUGGUUUCUUCGGAAAUGAGAGAGCGGCGUACGGGUGCGUAACACGUGUGCAACCUGCCUUUAUCUGGGGGAGAGCCUUUCGAAAGGAAGAUUAAUACUCCAUAAUAUAUUGAACGGCAUCGUUUAAUAUUGAAAGCUCCGGCGGAUAGAGAUGGGCACGCGCAAGAUUAGCUAGUUGGUGAGGUAACGGCUCACCAAGGCGAUGAUCUUUAGGGGGCCUGAGAGGGUGAUCCCCCACACUGGUACUGCGACACGGACCAGACUCCUACGGGAGGCAGCAGUGCGGAAUAUUGGUCAAUGGGUGCAAGCCUGAACCAGCCAUCCCGCGUGAAGGACGACUGCCCUAUGGGUUGUAAACUUCUUUUGUAUAGGGAUAAACCUACCCUCGAGAGGGUAGCUGAAGGUACUAUACGAAUAAGCACCGGCUAACUCCGUG